CACACCUGAUUCCUGCGGAUCAGACAUCCUAUAACUCUAUUAAAACCAACCCUAGUAUCAUCUAUAUCUAUAUAUCUAUAUAAAGUAAAAUCUCGGGAUGCUGACGUGGCGGCUUCCAAGACUCCCAUUCUAUUUUCCCUCGGUUCCUAAGCCUCACUGUUUGUUGAUAAGUGUUGUGAAAUCUUAAACUUUUCUGGGAGAAAUUGAAAGUCUCAGCAUUAAUUACUGACGUUUAUUACUUUCAGUUGAGUAUUCAUAAAGGCCGAAACUGAAAAAAUCUAAGUUCAAGUUCCCAUCUCAAAAUCUCAAAACAGACAAUCAUCGAAACUCUCCGCCAUGGCACCCCGACCUUCUUUGGAUCGGAACAAUUCUGUGCGGCUUCGUUGUCUCUCGCUCUUUUGAAGAUCAAGCUAAUCAAGAAAAUUCCAGCGGCGUCCCUGGACAUCCACUCCUCCAAUCCUGUAGUUGAUGGGCGAUUAGCCCUGGCCAUAUCUAGACUCUUUGUGCUGAAGAAUCAGCGAUAUGCUCUGAAGUUUGUGGCUUGAUCUAAUGUUGUUGAGCUACUCGGAUCUCAAUCGAGUACUUCUUGAUCGAUCUUGACAAACACAAUUUUUGUCCCCUGCUGUAAUGCAUGUUGUGCCUUGUACCGGUUUUUAAUUCGAUAUCGGAUUUGACAGGUUGAGCAGGUGAUCAAGGAGAAGAAUAUGGUGAUGUGUUUGUUAGAGUAGAAGGUUAAUGUCAUUUAUUUGUGGAGAGCCUGAUCUUGUAGACAAAGAAAAGAUGUUCAGAAUAGUUGAAGGAGGUGGUAUCAAGCUUGAUUUUUCUUCUACAAGAUGCGGAGAGUUUCCAGGAUUUCAACAGAUGCGCACAAUGUUCACAUCAUGUUUUUGGAAGGAAUUUGUGGCUCGUGGUGCUGAAUUACACAACAAUUGUAAAGCCAAUACUAAGAUGGUCGCAAGGCUGUCAACUGGAGUAGGAUGAAGGUCCUCAGAGUAAUUGCUUGCUUCGGAGAAUGGCAUUAAUUUACAAAUUAAAGAGGAGUCCUCCAUGACAAUAGAGAACUGCACACCCUCGUAGGGAAGGAAUUUGUCUUCAAACUGACACUUAACAAGUACAAUUGAGUUGAUGGCCGCAAGGACUAUGGAGUUUCUACGGUAUAUGUACCCGUGCAAGAUCUUGAACCUCCUUAUGCGAGGAAAAAUAAGCCAUAGGCUGCCCUCGAUCAGGCGGAGUCUUCAGCAUCUGCUGGCAAAGUGGAAGCAGAUACUGGCAGCGGCGAGAGAAAGCGGUCACCUGUUCUUCACGCUGUUGCCGAGAGCCAAAAUGCGGCACCUUGAUGUAUGGGUGACUGCUUGCUGCACCAUAACUUCAUGCAAGAUGCUAUAUUACUGUUCGCUUAUGACGUUAUGUUUUUAAGACACAUUAUAUGUUUGGUGUUUUGUAUUUUUUCAGUUGAAUGCAAUGAACAACUCCUUUUAUC
Molecule: long non-coding RNA, 1480 nt
Organism: Daucus carota subsp. sativus
Lineage: Eukaryota; Viridiplantae; Streptophyta; Magnoliopsida; Apiales; Apiaceae
Exons: 6
Source: RefSeq, a predicted model, not a curated record